Molecule: non-coding RNA, 106 nt
Filed under: Streptomyces albus
Lineage: Bacteria; Bacillati; Actinomycetota; Actinomycetes; Kitasatosporales; Streptomycetaceae
Description: TPP sequence
Rfam family: TPP riboswitch aptamer (THI element)
About the family: Vitamin B(1) in its active form thiamin pyrophosphate (TPP) is an essential coenzyme that is synthesised by coupling of pyrimidine and thiazole moieties in bacteria. The previously detected thiamin-regulatory element, thi box was extended, resulting in a new, highly conserved RNA secondary structure, the THI element, which is widely distributed in eubacteria and also occurs in some archaea.
Source: RNAcentral
ACAAUCCGACAGGGGAGCGCACCACAGCGCUGAGAGUGCGGCACGGCCGCAGACCCUCGGACCUGAUCCGGGUCAUACCGGCGUAGGGAGUCAGUCUCAUCAUGAA